AAAUUGAAGAGUUUGAUCAUGGCUCAGAUUGAACGCUGGCGGCAGGCCUAACACAUGCAAGUCGAACGGUAACAGGAAGCAGCUUGCUGCUUUGCUGACGAGUGGCGGACGGGUGAGUAAUGUCUGGGAAACUGCCUGAUGGAGGGGGAUAACUACUGGAAACGGUGGCUAAUACCGCAUAACGUCGCAAGACCAAAGAGGGGGACCUUCGGGCCUCUUGCCAUCAGAUGUGCCCAGAUGGGAUUAGCUUGUUGGUGAGGUAACGGCUCACCAAGGCGACGAUCACUAGCUGGUCUGAGAGGAUGACCAGCCACACUGGAACUGAGACACGGUCCAGACUCCUACGGGAGGCAGCAGUGGGGAAUAUUGCACAAUGGGCGCAAGCCUGAUGCAGCCAUGCCGCGUGUAUGAAGAAGGCCUUCGGGUUGUAAAGUACUUUCAGCGGGGAGGAAGGUGUUGUGGUUAAUAACC
RNAcentral lists this ribosomal RNA (471 nucleotides) under Salmonella enterica. RNAcentral describes it as "bacterial SSU rRNA". It matches the Rfam family "Bacterial small subunit ribosomal RNA", at positions 1 to 468 of the family's 1533-position model. The record is from RNAcentral. Lineage: Bacteria; Pseudomonadati; Pseudomonadota; Gammaproteobacteria; Enterobacterales; Enterobacteriaceae.